RNAcentral lists this long non-coding RNA (395 nucleotides) under Mus musculus (house mouse). RNAcentral describes it as "long non-coding RNA chr5:66299530-66299925". Lineage: Eukaryota; Metazoa; Chordata; Mammalia; Rodentia; Muridae. The record is from RNAcentral.
UGAAAUCACACGUGUUGUGAAGAUAUAAAAACGAAGCACCGCACAGUGCCUUAGUCUACAAAGUAGAGGUCUUCGCCAGACGGCAUGUCGGCUGCCCCCUAGAUGCUUCCAAGGGGCACGCAGAUAAGGUGGUAAGGGUGCAUCUAUCUAUCUGCUUUCAAAAAAUAAGAGGAACUUUAAGCAUUUUACCUUCUACAUAUUCCAACAGAAAUGUGACUGCAAACCAUCACCAAACCACCUUUCAGGCGAUGGAUAUAGUUCACUGAGUUACUUUAAGACCUGGAUACAAGGACAUCAUACCCAGUAAAGAUAAUACAGCAACACAAUAAUGCAGUAUAUUUCAGUAAAAAUAGAAUAAAUAAAAUAAAAAUAUUUCAAGCUGUAUUUAACAGGUU